CACGUAGGGGGCAAGCGUUGUCCGGAAUCAUUGGGCGUAAAGAGCGUGUAGGCGGUCCGGUAAGUCGGUUGUGAAAGUCCAGGGCUCAACCCUGGGAUGCCGACCGAUACUGUCGGACUAGAGUUCGGAAGAGGCGAGUGGAAUUCCCGGUGUAGCGGUGAAAUGCGCAGAUAUCGGGAGGAACACCUAUGGCGAAGGCAGCUCGCUGGGACGUUACUGACGCUGAGACGCGAAAGCGUGGGGAGCAAACAGG
This 253-nucleotide ribosomal RNA is filed under the name uncultured bacterium. Its description in RNAcentral is "partial 16S ribosomal RNA". It matches the Rfam family "Bacterial small subunit ribosomal RNA", at positions 524 to 776 of the family's 1533-position model. The record is from RNAcentral.